AAGAAAUACGUAGAAAAAAAAUGAAUUCACAUGGAAAAAGAUUGUAAAAUAGUAAAAAGCUUCUUCUUCUUCUUUGUUUUCAUCUUCAAUCUCCAUUGUAGCAUGAACGUGAAUCAUUCCACAACUGAAAUUACUGAGACUCAUUGAAGAAUUUUCCAUCGUCUAGCUUUUCAAAGACUUGACUCCUUAAAUUUGCAAGGGAUUCUUCAUCUGCCAAUGAAAAGAAUGAAUUCCAACAAAAAAAUAUUAAACCAUAAACAGAAGGAAAGAAACAACAAUUUCCAUACAAAGAUAACUAGAAGAAGAACAACAAAAGAAAAAUAACACCUUUUCAGAAAAUUUCUUUCUGAUUUGUCCGAUUAGAAGACCCAUUUUCUUUUCAAAUCAUGUAUAAGAAAAACUUGUUUGACGACUUGUGAAGUAAUUCAUCGCAGCACAAUCUGUUUCCUUCCUUCCUUAUAUUACUACUUUG
Molecule: long non-coding RNA, 472 nt
Filed under: Brassica napus (rape)
Lineage: Eukaryota; Viridiplantae; Streptophyta; Magnoliopsida; Brassicales; Brassicaceae
Description: long non-coding RNA (BNAP_LNC002374)
Source: RNAcentral